This is a long non-coding RNA of Symphalangus syndactylus (siamang), 527 nucleotides long. RefSeq lists it as uncharacterized. The record is from RefSeq and is a predicted model, not a curated record. NCBI's taxonomy places the organism in Eukaryota, Metazoa, Chordata, Mammalia, Primates, Hylobatidae.
GCCCUCCUUUAAAAGGCAAGGGGUCAGAGGCACUGCCACCUCACCCUUUCACAUCCCCACGACCCAGGUUUCCCAGCCAGAGCCCAGGGGUCACCAGGCUUCAAGGUGUCUGCCUCUCUGCAGGUUACUCUGGAAGGGACAAGGAUGAUGCCCACAGCCAGAAACGCCCCCAUGAUAGUCCCUGUCAGGGACACCCAAGGCAAUGUGUCCCCAGGGCUUCUAGCCUCUCCCAGGGACCAUGGCUGCUCCCAGCAGAGGCAGAGGCUGCCUGAGAUCGCCCCGAGGUCCAGGGAGGCACAGCCCAGCUCAGGGACCACCCCGAGGUCCACAGAGGCACAGCCCAGCUCAGUGGCCGCAGGGAAGCCUGGAGAUCCUGCAGAACUCCAGCCUCACUUUUGACUCCAGCCCUUCUGGAUGAGGACAGACAUGGUCUGAAGCCCAGACUUUCCACAUGAGGAAGAACCCAGAGCCCACGCUGUGUCUGAGGUGAAGGACUGGCAGGGAACCGGGGAGAAACACACUUUCCC